Molecule: long non-coding RNA, 476 nt
Organism: Mytilus californianus (California mussel)
Lineage: Eukaryota; Metazoa; Mollusca; Bivalvia; Mytilida; Mytilidae
Exons: 3
Source: RefSeq, a predicted model, not a curated record
UAUGAUUUAUCUACAGGUUUACACAAUGCUAUAUAAACCUUUAUUUUCAGAGUAAAUGCAAUCUGUUUGCCAGACUGAAAUAGAAAAUCUAAGAUGACUAUGAUUAAAGCACUUAUUAUUUUGUUGUGUGUCGCUGUUGCCUUUGGAUUCCAGUAUGGCUACUACGGUGACAACGAUCGCUUUGAUAUAGAUGAUGACUAUUAUGGUCUACGUCUACGUCUCGGCGGGAGAGGACAUGCUGUAAGACAUAUCAGACCAAAUGUCUACCCUAAAUAUGCUGUACGCAGUGUUGUAAGCCGACCAACUAUACAUAUCGUUCGUGGAUACUGAAGAAAAAAUAAUGUCAUCGUAAGAAAAUAGAACAUCGAAGGAAAGGCUGGUUUCCAUUAAAGUGCUACUGAUCGGGAGCAGUAAUCUCCGUUUCACUAUUUAUAAUGUUGUUGUUUAAUAUGAUUAAACUAAUGAGUAACAGGGUA